Molecule: ribosomal RNA, 429 nt
Filed under: Chloroflexota bacterium
Lineage: Bacteria; Bacillati; Chloroflexota
Description: Chloroflexi bacterium partial 16S ribosomal RNA
Rfam family: Bacterial small subunit ribosomal RNA
Source: RNAcentral
UGGGGAAUAUUGCACAAUGGGCGCAAGCCUGAUGCAGCCAUGCCGCGUGUGUGAAGAAGGCCUUCGGGUUGUAAAGCACUUUCAGCGGGGAGGAAGGCGGUGAGGUUAAUAACCUCACCGAUUGACGUUACCCGCAGAAGAAGCACCGGCUAACUCCGUGCCAGCAGCCGCGGUAAUACGGAGGGUGCAAGCGUUAAUCGGAAUUACUGGGCGUAAAGCGCACGCAGGCGGUCUGUCAAGUCGGAUGUGAAAUCCCCGGGCUCAACCUGGGAACUGCAUUCGAAACUGGCAGGCUAGAGUCUUGUAGAGGGGGGUAGAAUUCCAGGUGUAGCGGUGAAAUGCGUAGAGAUGUGGAGGAAUGCCGGUGGCGAAGGCGGCCCCCUGGACAAAGACUGACGCUCAGGUGCGAAAGCGUGGGGAGCAAACAGG